UGUGCUAUGGGGCAGAGCUCUGUGCUAUGGGGCACUGUGCCCACUCUGUGCUAUGGGGCAGAGCUCUGCGCUAUGGGGCAGUGUGCUCAGUCCUAUGGGGCUCAGCCCCACUUUGUGCUAUGGGGCAGAGCUCUGUGCUAUGGGGCCCAGCUCCACAUUGCGCUAUGGGGCACAGCCCCGUUAGUGCUAUGGGGCACAGCUCUGUGCCGUGGGGCGCUGUGGGGCACAGUGGGGCCCCCCCAUGGCGUCCCCGCCCCAUAGAUGCCGGCAGCCCCUUAUCUCUGCAGUGCAGGUGGGGUGUGUGGGGCGGCGCCGUGGGGCAGUGCCGUGGGGCAGCGCCGUGGGGCAGUACAGUGUGGCAGUAGUAUGGGGCAAAGCCGUGGGGCAGCCCCAUGGGAAAGCGCUGUGGGGCAGAGCUGUGGGGCAGAGCCGUGGGGCAGAGCUGUGGGGCAGCGCCGUGGGGCAGCGCCGUGGGGCAGUGCUGUGGGGCAGUGCUAUGGGUCAGAGCUGUGGGGCAGAACCAUGGGACAAUGUUGUGGGGCGGUGCUAUGGGGCAGAGCUGUGGGGCAGUACAGUGUGGCAGUAGUAUGGGGCAAAGCCGUGGGGCAGCCCCAUGGGACAGUGCUGUGGGGCAGAGCCGUGGGGCAGAGCCGUGGGGCAGUGCUGUGGGGCAGCCCCAUGGGGCAGUGCUAUGGGGCAGUCGUAUGGAGCAGAGCCGUGGGGCAGCCCCAUGGGUCAGUGCUGUGGGGCAGUGCCAUGGGGCAGCGCUGUGGGGCAGUGCUAUGGGGCAGUGCUGUGGGGCAGAACCAUGGGACAAUGUUGUGGGGCAGUGCUGUGGGGCAGUGCUGUGGGGCAGCGCCGUGGGACAGUGCUAUGGGGCAGAGCUGUGGGGCAGAGCUGUGGGGCAGUGCUGUGGGGCAGUGCUAUGGGGCAGUGCUGUGGGGCAGAACCAUGAGACAAUGUUGUGGGGCAGUGCUAUGGGGCAGAGCUGUGGGGCAGCACCGUGGGGCAGUGCUGUGGGGCAGAGCUGUGGGGCAGCGCCGUGGGGCAGCGCCGUGGGGCAGUGCUGUGGGGCAGAGCUGUGGGGCAGCGCCGUGGGGCAGCGCCGUGGGGCAGUGCUGUGGGGCAGUGCUGUGGGGCAGAACCAUGGGACAAUGUUGUGGGGCAGUGCUAUGGGGCAGAGCUGUGGGGCAGCACCGUGGGGCAGUGCCAGGGGGCAGCCCUAUGGGACAGUGCUAUGGGGCAGAGCCGUGGGGCAGAGCUGUGGGGCAGUGCUAUGGGGCAGAGCCGUGGGGCAGCCCCAUGGGGCAGUGCUGUGGGGCAGCGCCGUUGGUUGUGGGGCAGCCGCUAUGGGGCAGCGCCAUUGGUUGUGGGGCAGCCGCUAUGGGGCAGCUCCAUUGGUUGUGGGGCAGCCGCUAUGGGGCAGCGCUGUUGGUUGUGGGGCGGCCGCUAUGGGGCAGCGCUGUUGGUUGUGGGGCGGCCGCUAUGGGGCAGCGGUGCUGGUUGUGGGGCGGCCGCUAUGGGGCAGAGCUGCUGGUUGUGGGGUGCCGCUAUGGGGCAGCGCUGUUGGAUGUGGGGUGGUCGCUAUGGGGCAGCGCUGUUGGGUGUGGGGCAGCCGCUAUGGGGCAGCCGCUAUGGGGCAGUGCUGCUGGUUGUGGGGCGGCCACUAUGGGGCAGAGCUGCUGGUUGUGGGGCAGCCGCUAUGGGGCAGCGCUGCUGGUUGUGGGGCAGCCGCUAUGGGGCAGGCCCCAGGGGUGGGGGCGUGGCCUCAGGAAAGGGGGCGUGGCCUAAGGAUGGGGCAGGAAGAGCGUUGAAUGGCGGUGGGCGUGGCUUAAUGGAAGUGGGCGUGGCCUUAAGGGUAGGGGGCGUGGCCUAAGGGGGCAGCAGAACGGUGGCCAAUGGCGGUGGGCGUGGCUUAAUGGGAGGUGGGCGUGGCCUAAGGGGCAUCAAACGGCGUCCUAUGGUGGUGGGCGUGGCUUAACAGGUGGGCGUGGCCUGAGGGUCUGUGUGUCCUAUGGCGGUGGGCGUGGCCUAAUGGAACAGUGGGCGUGGUCUAUAGUUGUGGGCGUGGCCUAAGGGGGGCAGCAAAACGGUGGCCUAUGGCGGUGGGCGUGGCUUAUCGGGGGUGGGCGUGGCCUAAGGGCAGCAAUACGGUGUCUUAUGGUGGUGGGCGUGGCUUAAGGAGGUGGGCGUGGCCUAAGUUGGCAGCAAAACGGUGUCCAAUGACGGUGGGCGUGGCUUAACGGGGAGGCGGGCGUGGCCUAAUGGGCUACAAACGGUGUCCUAUGACGGUGGGCGUGGCUUAACGGGGAGGUGGGCGUGGCCUAAGCGUGGCCGGCGGGAUUCCUUCGGCGGUGGGCGUGGCUUAAGGGAAGGGGGCGGGCCUAAGGGGCGGCAAAACGGUGUCCAAUGACGGUGGGCGUGGCUUAACGGGGGUGGGCGUGGCCUAAGGGCAGCGAAAAAAACGGUGUCCAAAGAAGUAGGCGUGGCUUAACGGGGGUGGUGGGCGUGGCCUAAGAGUGACGUGAGGAUGUCUUACGGGGGUGGGCGUGGCUUAACGGGGGUGGGCGUGGCCAAAACGUGACAUGAGCGUG
Molecule: long non-coding RNA, 2594 nt
Organism: Numida meleagris (helmeted guineafowl)
Lineage: Eukaryota; Metazoa; Chordata; Aves; Galliformes; Numididae
Source: Ensembl